UUCACAGACUCUGGGAGUUGCAACACCCCGUUGUUGGCAGCUAGCAUAACUGACUCCAUCUUGGGCCUGUUCGGUUCCUCCUGUCCUUCCAUUGACCCUACCCGGGACCGUACCGCAUGGUAAAUCACUUCUGUGCUGUCAAGGGCUUUGUAGUUAAUAGAUAUCAUCUAAUGAUCAUUAGGUUCCAGGUGGCCUCUCUGCUCUGCUACUCUCCAGUGAUAAAGGCUUUCAUGAUGUAGUCUCUGCACCCAUAAGACUAAUUACCCAUCAUAAAUCUUGACUUAGGAAUGCACUGCCUGACUCCCUGUCCCCCAAACCCUAGGUUAACUAUAAAACUGUCCCAGCAGCCCCUCUGCAGUGUUGAGUGCAGCUGCUAAUGCUUCUGGAUCGCCCCCUGCCCCAUCCUACCCUCUCUCUUCUCAUCACCAUUCUAUGGCUAAGGAGACAGGAGGCUCAGAGUUACAGUCACUGGAUAAGGUCAUACAGUUGGAAAAACCAAAGCUUGCAUUCACCUCUGCCCACCAGACACUUACAUCGUAUCCACUGUUACGUAUCCCACGCCGGGGUCGCUCCCGAGUUACCAGAAGGUCCAUCUCUGUUUCCCCUGGACUCGGGC
Molecule: long non-coding RNA, 616 nt
Organism: Bubalus bubalis (water buffalo)
Lineage: Eukaryota; Metazoa; Chordata; Mammalia; Artiodactyla; Bovidae
Exons: 3
Source: RefSeq, a predicted model, not a curated record